GUCACUUGUGUCUGUUUUCACCUAACUUGUGGACUAAGACUUAUGGACAGGCACAAAAACAAAUCCCCUUUGUCACCUGGAACUCAUUGUUGAGUGAAUUUCGAUGCAGAGGACAAGGAGUGUU
Molecule: small nucleolar RNA, 124 nt
Filed under: Chinchilla lanigera (long-tailed chinchilla)
Lineage: Eukaryota; Metazoa; Chordata; Mammalia; Rodentia; Chinchillidae
Description: Small nucleolar RNA SNORA40 (ENSCLAG00000018675.1)
Rfam family: Small nucleolar RNA SNORA40
About the family: The snoRNA ACA 40 belongs to the H/ACA family of snoRNAs and guides the pseudouridylation of 28S rRNA subunit at position U4565.
Source: Rfam by way of RNAcentral